UCUUCAGUAGGACAAUGCUUAUCUAUUGUAAGAUAUACUAUUGGGACUAAAGAAAGAUUUUUAUCUGUUAAGAAAAAACACAUCCUUUUCUCUGCAAAAGACAGCUUUCAUUUCUUCUUCCAAAUCUAGUUUUAUAUUAUUAGUUUUGUUCUAUUUCUGGACCUUUCCCUGUCUGUUACCCACAGCGUUUUCAGGACAACAUAAUUUCUUUGCUCUUGAGGGAUAACAGCUUUGACAAGUAACCACAUUUCCAUCUGUCUCGGUUUGUAACAACAUGCUGUUCGCCAAAGCUGUGCCCCUGGAUCCUAAGGGGGUGGAGGAGCAAUCUAGGGAGCAGCCUUUUUCUUUCUCCCUUAUCUCUCUUCCCAAUUCUUUUAUGAGAUUGUAGGUUGCAGGUUGCUCAUUUCUAUUAAAAGUUCAAUUGCAAGACUCCUGUGUGAGAAACACUUACGCUUGCUUUCCUGCAUCUUCCUCUGGUACCCCAGCCUUUGUUGCUUGAGCUGCAGGAACAUCCCUUAGCCUCAAGCACCUAAUCCAAAUAGGAUUGAAGGACAGAGAUGACACCCAGACUGCGAGGCUGAGGUUCAUGAGUCCUGAUUCUUGGUGCUUCAGGGGCACGGUUGGAGAGAAUGGCAGCUCCUUUCUGGUCUGCUCUGUACCUAGGUCCUGCCACAGCAUCCAAGUGGGAAGCAGAUAGGACAUGCAUCCAGGAAGCUUGAAGCAGUAUCAGUCUCUGAUACUGCCAUUUACACAUUGCUUACACUUUUUUCUUUUCAAAGUUCAAAGUCUGUACAAAUCUAAUCCAACUCUGGAGUUGAGGACAUAAGGAUGUAUUCUGUUACACUUCCAUCAGAUCAGAAGAGCACAGGUCU
Corapipo altera (White-ruffed manakin) is the source of this 872-nucleotide long non-coding RNA. RefSeq lists it as uncharacterized. The record is from RefSeq and is a predicted model, not a curated record. The transcript is spliced from 3 exons. NCBI's taxonomy places the organism in Eukaryota, Metazoa, Chordata, Aves, Passeriformes, Pipridae.